This is a non-coding RNA of Schizosaccharomyces pombe (fission yeast), 2549 nucleotides long. Lineage: Eukaryota; Fungi; Ascomycota; Schizosaccharomycetes; Schizosaccharomycetales; Schizosaccharomycetaceae. The record is from the annotation of a GenBank genome assembly.
AAGAAACCAAUCUAAACUAAAUUGUAGCUUUUAAUCGUCUUAAAUUGUAGGAUGAUAAAAUCUACGUUUACCCAUCACUCAAUGUACAAGAUAUACAACUGAACAGCAACAAGCUUUCUACGUUAAAAAUUUCUUCAGGAAAAAUAAAUUCAGUUCAAACACUAUCAUAAUUGCAGUUUUUUUAAUCAUUGAAACAUAAUAAACGAUUUUAUUAUUUAGAAAAAAACACCAAAAAAUUAGACCUAAAAACCAUUUGCAAAUUGCAUGUUUGAAUAAAAGACCUUGUACGUUCUUAAAAAUGCUUGCAAGUUUGCUUAAACACCAUAUGUAAGCAUGUCAACUAGAAAGCGACAUAAGUAAAUUAAAACCAAUCCAAUCUCUACCUUUUUUUUCUUCUGACCUCGUUAGGAUUUUUCCUUCCAGCUCCUAUCUGAACGUACAUUCGAUCUUUGGUAACACCGGUAAGCAGAGAGGGAAGAUAAUCCUCAUCCAUAAGAUCGAUUUCCUUCUUUCGCUGCAUGCGGCGUACAGCACGUUGAUAUUCAGGCUGAUCUUCACGUAAAACAGGAUUUUUCUUUCCUUUACCAUUUGAAGUACCAUGAACUGGCUUAGGAAGGGAAUAUUUUGUGCCUCGGGUUUUCCACUCGAAAUUCUUCUUCAAGUGCACUUGAAAUUCACCUUUAGAGUUGAUACUGCACGUGGUUUUAAUUAACGUGUUACCACCGCAGGAAGGACAGAAUUUUUUCUCCAUGUCUUUCACUACUGUAUAGCAUCCGUGGCAACGGAGAACGAAUCUCUUAACAUUUUGAAUUUUGAAACCAUCUGAAGAAACUAGAUUUAGCCCAAUUUGCAAUAAGACAUUUUGCAUCGAAAAAUCAGUAGUAGCGCAGGCGACUUUGAGAUGUUUGGGUUGAACAAGGCUUUCACCGACGCCAUCCUCAGCUUUCUUUUUGCGAAUAUUUGAAGGAGUAAUCCAUCCAUCAUCUUCAUCAUCUUCCUCAUUGUCUUCUUGCUCUUUAUUUUCUUCAGUAUUCGGAUGUGCUUCUUUAUUAUUGGAAUGUUGUGUCGUUUCACCUUCCAAGACUUCGUUCUCUGCGGAUUUAGGAUCACUGUUCUCAGUUUCUUUUACAGAAGCUGUAUCGCUUGAUGUGGGUUUAGAUGCAUCUUCAGUAGAAUUUGAAUUACUAGGGGGUUUUCCAUUGAUAUGCUUUUGACCAGGAUACUUGCGAAGUCUCCAGUCACCACCAUUAAACUCGACUUCUAACUCAUAAGUCAAAGCCAAAAUUUGAAUAUCGGUUACAGAGAGUGAGGAGUAAUCACCGGUUUGCUUUGCAAAUUCGGAAACUAUAGUUUGUUAGAAAGCUGCUACCAAGAAUCAAAGUAUUUAUGAUGGAAGUAGUUGAAAAGAAUAGCAGGUGUAAGAAAGCGAUCAAAUUCCAAUAUGAUUAAGCUUUUUCACCCACCUUGCUUUCACUUCUCAGAGAUGACUGUGCACAGAAUAAAAUCUAGCUGGUUGCUUUCUUCAACCACUAUACAACUUUCUUUUUAAUAAAACAUACCUUUUUUUAUAAAUUCUGGUUUUGGAACUCUUUGAAUUACUUGAUCGCCCCAAAGUUCAAAAUUUUUCCUCGAUGUUUCGUCUCGAAUUUCUGCAAUCACUCGAGGAAUGGUAUAAAAGCUUUCCGCAGAAUUUCUUAAUAAAGUACUAGAGCAGAUAAUCCCACCUGUAUCGAGGACGAGAUGAGUAAUGCUUUUACUCAUUUUGGCACUAGUUUACUCAAACUGAUGUUUUUCAUAGUACUUACUGCACAUGUUUGAUAUAUACGCUAUGUUGCAGUAAACAAUUUAAGGUAAAUAAAUCACGAACUAAAGCAAUGAAAAUAUUAUAAGAAUUGAGAGUUACAAUAGUCAGAAAAUUUAAUAUGAAUUCCAAUGCAGGAGUUUAAAGUGCUUUUAUUAGAAAACCGGUAUGUAAGUUGAACAUAGUGGACUUGAAAUUUUAAGAUAUCUUCCACCUGAUGCUUAAAGUUAACAAUGAAAAAUUUCUAUCCAUGAAUGUUUUUACUCAAUCAAGUGACUACCAAUGUUUUAGAGUUAAAAAUAUCUGGUGAGCUUGAUAGUAACUGAUCAUGAUCUGGCCAUUGCUUACAAAUGCUUCAAAGAGGCCGUUCGGUUCAACUAUUGAGGCUUUAACUAUUCUUUUAAUUGUUGCGUCUAUUAGUUAGUUUCAACCCUCAUUUUUUUGGUAUACUAUAACAAGUAGCUCGAGAAAAUUAUUGAAAGAGCACAAUGUAUUGUUUGCGGAUAUUUAAAAAGGAAAUGAAAGUAAAGUACUUUGGUUGGUGUUUUCUCUUGUACAUUAUAUAUUCCCAAAACACCGAUUCAAAUCAAUCGGAACAAAUUUAUAUGGCACAAAAAAUUGCAAUUUAGUGCAAUAGCUCAUCGAGUAAUAGAUCGAUGACAUAGCUGAACUUUCAUAAUUAUUUUACAGUUCUUCGGGGAAAGGGUAAAAUUUAGUCAUUUCAUCUGAAUAAGUUUUCAAUUUCAUG